CUAUUAUUUUUUUUUGUAAAAGUUGAGUAGUUUACCUAAGUAUUAUGAAUGUGAUUAGGAUAUAUAUAUAUAUAUAUAUAUAUAUAAUUUAUAUUUAAAACUUAAAAAGUUUGGCGGUUUUACAUAUCCAGUUAGGGGAGUUUGUUAAUUUAUUUGAUAAUCCUCAUUUUAAACUUACUUUUUUUUGAAUAUAUAAUUAAUACAGUUUAUAUAUUGCUGUCGUCAGUUUAUCUUUUGAGAAUUAAAGAACUAUUAAAUGUUUUAGGUUGUUAUGUCAAGUCAUAAUGUAGCUAAUAAAAAAGGUUUAAUGAACUACUAUAAAUAAUGUUUUAAUAUGAUCCGGAUAGUAAAGGUUAAGUUUAUUAGAAAGGUGGACUUAAUAGUAAAAUUAUAAUUAGUAUGUAUAUUUGAAUUAGGUUUUGUAAAGUGU
This 430-nucleotide ribosomal RNA is filed under the name Octopus sp. OM949. Its description in RNAcentral is "partial 12S rRNA". The record is from RNAcentral. Lineage: Eukaryota; Metazoa; Mollusca; Cephalopoda; Octopoda; Octopodidae.